GGUUACAAAGAGUCGGACACGAUUAAAGUGACUUAGCACACACACAUACUUAACUGUAUAUUCUAUUGGGAGCCACCACAAAAGCUAUAGUCCCCUGCGGGUAGAGUGGCUAUAAAGAACAGCCUGUCAAAGACUGAAAAUGAAAAAAAGGCUUUUCCACCCUAUGUUUGUUGAUACUUCAUUAGAGAUGCUGCCUAAGCAGAAAAAUAAGGAUUUUCUGUGUUUAACCCCCAAACUGCUGUAGGGCUUACAAACAGGCUCAAGUGUAUCUGACCUUGAUGGAUGAGAAGGGCAUGCUAGGAUCCUAGGGAAAAUUAGCACCUUCAUUUUUGUGUCUGAUUGUAAUUGCAGCCUCCACUCCAACUUCAAAGGUGGAAGAUGUCUGUCAGAGGGAACUGCCUUUGCAGUUUGAAGGAUGUACCCCUGCCAAACGUGGGUUCACAGCUACUGAGAGGCUACCAUAAAGUCCCAGGAGUGUGAAUGGUGUUAAGGACAGCCCAGCUCAUGAGGUCCACAGGAUCCUAAAAAACACGAUGAUGUGAGUAUUUGAAAAUCAAACAGAAAGCCUGGAACUACAGACUAAGGGUGAACAAUGGCCUUUUUCCAAGAAAUAACUGGGAACAUGGAACCUGAACCAAAUGCUUGAAUAAGGAUAAGGGAACAAUUAGCAGCCAUUUAAGGUAACCUAUCCUUUUAAUUUUAUGUCAAACUACUGGAAAAAGCAGAAUAGCUAGCCUAAUUUACAUGCACUUAAUGGGGUGGAUCUUUUUAUUUUUAAUUGGAGGAUAGAGCCUCCCUCCAGCUCUGCCCCCAUCCCACCUGAGUCGGUUGUCCCGGAGCACUGAUCUCAGCUCCCUGUGCCAGCCGCUUCCCGCGAGCCUUCCACGCAGGCGGUAUAUGUGUCAGCGCUACUCUCUCAACUCAUCCCACCCUCUCUCCCCCCCAUCUCCACAAGUCU
Molecule: non-coding RNA, 958 nt
Organism: Odocoileus virginianus texanus
Lineage: Eukaryota; Metazoa; Chordata; Mammalia; Artiodactyla; Cervidae
Source: RefSeq, a predicted model, not a curated record